This 271-nucleotide ribosomal RNA is filed under the name uncultured bacterium. RNAcentral describes it as "partial 16S ribosomal RNA". It matches the Rfam family "Bacterial small subunit ribosomal RNA", at positions 524 to 794 of the family's 1533-position model. The record is from RNAcentral.
UACGUAGAGUCCUAGUGUUACUCGGAUUUACUGGGCGUAAAGGAUGCGUAGGCUGCUUGAUAAGUCAACUGUGAAAUCCCUGGGCUCAACCCAGGAACUGCAGUUGAUACUGUCAAGCUAGAGUGUGGUAGAGAGCAAUGGAAUUCCUAGUGUAGGGGUUAAAUCCGCAGAUAUUAGAAGGAACACCAGAGGCGAAAGCGGUUGCUUGGGCCAAUACUGACGCUGAGGCAUGAAAGCGUGGGGAGCAAGCAGGAUUAGAAACCCUGGUAGU